GAUGAACGCUGGUGGCGUGCCUAAUACAUGCAAGUCGAGCGAACGGACGAGAAGCUUGCUUCUCUGGUGUUAGCGGCGGACGGGUGAGUAACACGUGGAUAACCUACCUAUAAGACUGGGAUAACUUCGGGAAACCGGAGCUAAUACCGGAUGAUAUUUUGAACCGCAUGGUUCAAAAGUGAAAGACGGUCUUGCUGUCACUUAUAGAUGGAUCCGCGCUGCAUUAGCUAGUUGGUAAGGUAACGGCUUACCAAGGCAACGAUGCAUAGCCGACCUGAGAGGGUGAUCGGCCACACUGGAACUGAGACACGGUCCAGACUCCUACGGGAGGCAGCAGUAGGGAAUCUUCCGCAAUGGGCGAAAGCCUGACGGAGCAACGCCGCGUGAGUGAUGAAGGUCUUCGGAUCGUAAAACUCUGUUAUUAGGGAAGAACAUAUGUGUAAGUAACUGUGCACAUCUUGACGGUACCUAAUCAGAAAGCCACGGCUAACUACGUG
This 497-nucleotide ribosomal RNA is filed under the name uncultured bacterium. RNAcentral describes it as "partial 16S ribosomal RNA". It matches the Rfam family "Bacterial small subunit ribosomal RNA", at positions 28 to 507 of the family's 1533-position model. The record is from RNAcentral.